AUGGCCGGCUGGACCGAUUCCGGCGGCAGCCGAGGGCGAGGAGGAGGAGGCGGCGGCGGCGGCUUCGCAAACCGCGGCGGCGGCAACGCCAACAACAACACCAUGUGGAGAGAGAGAACGCCACCGCAGCCGCAGCCGCAGCCUCAGCCGCCGCCGCAGCAGCAGCAACAGCAACAGCAUCACCACCAACAACAGCACCAUCAGCAGCAGCAGCAUCGCUACCGUCCUGUCAACCACAAUGACCACUCCUCGCAGCACCCGCGCCACCCACCGGCGGGGGAGCUGGACCGACACCAAGGGCAGGGAGGCUCCUCCACUUCCACCCGGCGCCUGCGGCCAAAUCGUCCACCACAGCCUCGCCCCACCUUCACAGACCACAAGCCGUCUCCUACCUCCACACCCAAUGCCAACGAACCCGACGACAAGGCCAGGCGCAAUGCUGCCAAUUUCGAGUGCAACGUCUGCUUCGACAUGGCGGACGACCCCGUCGUCACCAAGUGCGGCCAUCUCUUCUGCUGGGACUGCCUCUACCAGUGGCUCCAUGUCCACUCCAACCACCGCGAGUGCCCUGUCUGCAAGGGCCAGGUCGCUGACGAUGCCAUUAUACCCAUCUAUGGACGUGGCGGCUCUGCAGCGUCUGUUCACGCCGCACCGCCGAGGCCCACUGGGGCCAGAGUUGAAAGCUCCAGACAGCAGCAGCUGCAGCAGUUUGCUGCUUCCAACUUGAAUAUGAUGAUGGACGAAGAUGAUGAAGACGACGACCCCUUUCUCGAGGAGAUUAGUCUUCGCUUUGGAGUUAACUCGCUGAGAGGUGGUAUGAUGAUCAUACCCGAUGAUGACAUCGAACAAGAUUAUGAUGACUACACUGAUCCCUACCUCCACCGCAACUUUGAUGAGGAGCCAGAUUUUGGUUACCGUGGUGGUCGGCGUCAGCGCGGGAGAGCAAGAGGAACAACAUCUGCAGAUCAUUUCAACGAUCACAUCGUUGGCAUGGUGUUGGGCAGUAGCUUGAGGAUCGAGGACAGCAGCGGUGCAUCUUACCGUGACACCGCUGCUGGUCCUCAUCAUAGUACUAAUACAGGUGGUUCCUCUCGGCCUAAUGGUGGAUCGACCGAGAGACGAGGAAGAAGCAACCGUAAUUCGAAUUCCGGUGGUGGAAGAGGAACGCAUAAUAGCAGGAGGCAAGGAGCAAAUUACAAUUGA
Molecule: ribosomal RNA, 1203 nt
Filed under: Triticum aestivum (bread wheat)
Lineage: Eukaryota; Viridiplantae; Streptophyta; Magnoliopsida; Poales; Poaceae
Description: partial small subunit ribosomal RNA
Source: RNAcentral